RNAcentral lists this ribosomal RNA (200 nucleotides) under uncultured bacterium. Its description in RNAcentral is "partial 16S ribosomal RNA". It matches the Rfam family "Bacterial small subunit ribosomal RNA", at positions 30 to 232 of the family's 1533-position model. The record is from RNAcentral.
AUUGAACGCUGGCGGCAGGCCUAACACAUGCAAGUCGAGCGGUAACGCGGGGCAACCUGGCGACGAGCGGCGGACGGGUGAGUAACGCGUAGGAAUCUACCUAGUAGUGGGGGAUAGCCCGGGGAAACUCGGAUUAAUACCGCAUACGCCUUAAGGGGGAAAGCAGGGGAUCUUCGGACCUUGUGCUAUUAGAAGAGCCU